RNAcentral lists this unclassified non-coding RNA (868 nucleotides) under Daphnia magna. RNAcentral's name for it is "uncharacterized LOC116922291, transcript variant X1". The record is from RNAcentral. Lineage: Eukaryota; Metazoa; Arthropoda; Branchiopoda; Diplostraca; Daphniidae.
UUUUUUCCAUAACAUGUAGCACUUAGGGUCUUUGUCCAAUAUGACCCGUGUCCAAGUUGACCCCGUUCUCCCCUACAGGUAACGAAAAAAAGGAAAUUGACUUCUGAGUCAACAUACAUAUUCAAACAUUGUAUAUCACCAUCAAUGUUUUCCGAUAACAGUAGUGAUGAUGAAGUACUGUCUGAUGUAGUCGAAGCAAUGACCAUUGGGUCUCAAUACUUUUAAAAAUGGAAAAAGGGGAAGUCAUCACAGGACAGUUAUCAACAACCAUCGACUUCUUUAUUUGGUUACAAUACUGAACAACAGUCUGUUUUAAAACAUAAUAAUAAUGAAAAAAGAUCAAAAUGUCCUUCAAAGCUGUCACUGAAGCACAAACUAUAGAAAUACUGCACCACAAUUUUCGUCAUCUGAGUGCUAUGAGGAUACACAGUCAGACGAAUUGAAUUCCAAAAGCACUCUGAAUAAGGGGAAAAAAAGGAAAGAUCAAUCUGUCGCUAAACGUAAACAGUCUUCAUCAGUUCAUCUUCGGCCAUCUGAGAGACUUGAUUUUGGAAAAUGGAAAUUGCCGAACAAUUUUGGAGUCGUACUUAACAAGAUAUUGACGAAUAGAGGAAGUCUGAACGAGGCAAAUUUGUCUAUGGUAUAUCGACGCGUUGUCGACUCAAUUGAAGAAUUUUCGCUAUGCUCCUGUGGGAAUUUCUUAAGGAUGGUGGUUCAGCAAAUGUUUGCAACAAACCCUUCAAUACAGAUCAAUCCUAAAGACCCAGUAUCAUCUUCGCAAGCUUUAGUCGCAAAGCUUCAGAGAAUUUUAUCGAGACGAAGACAAGCUGCAGGCGAAACCCUUAGUACCAAUGGAGGAAGACCAUUC